AUAUUGAACAAUGGAGGAAACUCUGAUGCAGCGACGCCGCGUGAGUGAAGAAGGUCUUCGGAUCGUAAAACUCUGUCCUUGGUGCAGAAAAGGACGGUAGCCAAGGAGGAAGCCCCGGCUAACUACGCUCCAGCAGCCGCGGUAAUACGUAGGGGGCGAGCGUUGUCCGGAUUUACUGGGCGUAAAGGGUGAGUAGGCGGUUGUAUAUGUCAGGUGUAAAAGGCACAGGCUUAACUUGUGUUAGCACUUGAAACUGUACGACUUGAGUGCAGGAGAGGUAAGCGGAAUUCCUAGUGUAGCGGUGAAAUGCGUAGAUAUUAGGAGGAACACCAGUGGCGAAGGCGGCUUACUGGACUGUAACUGACGCUGAGUCACGAAAGCGUGGGUAGCAAACA
RNAcentral lists this ribosomal RNA (395 nucleotides) under uncultured bacterium. RNAcentral describes it as "partial 16S ribosomal RNA". It matches the Rfam family "Bacterial small subunit ribosomal RNA", at positions 361 to 774 of the family's 1533-position model. The record is from RNAcentral.